This 482-nucleotide ribosomal RNA is filed under the name uncultured bacterium. RNAcentral describes it as "bacterial SSU rRNA". It matches the Rfam family "Bacterial small subunit ribosomal RNA", at positions 27 to 507 of the family's 1533-position model. The record is from RNAcentral.
GGAUGAACGCUGGCGGCGUGCUUAACACAUGCAAGUCGAACGAAGCACUUUGAUUUCUUCGGAAUGAGAAGUGACUGAGUGGCGGACGGGUGAGUAACACGUGGGUAAUCUACCUUCGAGUCUGGAAUAACAGUUAGAAAUGAUUGCUAAUGCCGGAUGAAAUUGGGAACGAAAUUUCAUUCUUUAUUAAAAGGAGCCUUUAAAGCUUCGCUUGAAGAUGAGCCUGCGACGUAUUAGCUAGUUGGUGGGGUAAAGGCCUACCAAGUCGACGAUCAGUAGCCGGACUGAGAGGUUGAACGGCCACAUUGGGACUGAGACACGGCCCAGACUCCUACGGGAGGCAGCAGUGGGGAAUAUUGCACAAUGGGGGGAACCCUGAUGCAGCGAUGCCGCGUGGAGGAAGAAGGUUUUCGGAUUGUAAACUCCUUUUAUCAGGGACGAUAAUGACGGUACCUGAAGAAAAAGCUCCGGCCAACUACGUG